CUACCUGGUUGAUCUGCCAGUAGUCA
RNAcentral lists this ribosomal RNA (26 nucleotides) under Helianthus giganteus. RNAcentral describes it as "partial 18S ribosomal RNA". Lineage: Eukaryota; Viridiplantae; Streptophyta; Magnoliopsida; Asterales; Asteraceae. The record is from RNAcentral.